AGAGUUUGAUCAUGGCUCAGGACGAACGCUGGCGGCGUGCUUAACACAUGCAAGUCGAACGAGGUCCAACCUGUGGCAACACAGGAGAAGACCUAGUGGCGAACGGGUGAGUAGCACGUGAGGAACCUGCCCCGAAGUCUGGGAUAACCCCCCGAAAGGGGAGCUAAUACCGGAUGCCCCCAUCUGAUCGCAUGUUCGGAUGAGGAAAGGAUUCUGCUUCGGGAGGGCCUCGCGGCCUAUCAGCUUGUUGGUGAGGUAACGGCUCACCAAGGCGACGACGGGUAGCUGGUCUGAGAGGACGAUCAGCCACACUGGGACUGAGACACGGCCCAGACUCCUACGGGAGGCAGCAGUGGGGAAUCUUGCGCAAUGGGCGAAAGCCUGACGCAGCAACGCCGCGUGCGGGAUGACGGCCUUCGGGUUGUAAACCGCUUUCAGUGGGGACGAAACAAGACGGUACCCACAGAAGAAGCCCCGGCCAACUACGUGCCAGCAGCCGCGGUAACACGUAGGGGGCGAGCGUUGUCCGGAAUCGUUGGGCGUAAAGAGCUCGUAGGCGGCUCGGUAAGUCGGGUGUGAAACCCCCAGGCUCAACCUGGGGACGCCACCCGAUACUGCUGUGGCUAGAGUCCAGUAGGGGAGUGUGGAAUUCCCGGUGUAGCGGUGAAAUGCGCAGAUAUCGGGAGGAACACCAGCGGCGAAAGCGGCACUCUGGGCUGGAACUGACGCUGAGGAGCGAAAGCGUGGGUAGCAAACAGGAUUAGAUACCCUGGUAGUCCACGCCGUAAACGUUGGGCACUAGGUGUGGGGACCCUCCAACGGUUUCCGUGCCGUAGCUAACGCAUUAAGUGCCCGCCUGGGGAGUACGGCCGCAAGGCUAAAACUCAAGGAAUUGACGGGGCCGCACAAGCAGCGGAGCAUGUUGCUUAUUCGAGGCAACGGCGAAGAACCUUACCUGGG
This 960-nucleotide ribosomal RNA is filed under the name uncultured bacterium. Its description in RNAcentral is "bacterial SSU rRNA". It matches the Rfam family "Bacterial small subunit ribosomal RNA", at positions 8 to 979 of the family's 1533-position model. The record is from RNAcentral.